This is a long non-coding RNA of Cyprinus carpio carpio, 1543 nucleotides long. NCBI's taxonomy places the organism in Eukaryota, Metazoa, Chordata, Actinopteri, Cypriniformes, Cyprinidae. The record is from Ensembl.
CUGAAUUCUGAUCAAAACAGAAAGCAUUCUAGCUGUCUGUCCCAAAUUUCAACAAGUAUGCAAGAUGAGGUGUAUGAAUUACAUUUAUGGUCAGUCUACUUAUAGUCAAACAUAGUUCUGUAGCUGAUCUGAAUAUCAAAAGUAUUAACUGGGAUUAAUUAUUGUCACACACACACACACACACACACACACACACACACAUAUAUAUAUAUAUAUAUAUAUAUCGUUAUGUGCAUCAAAAGAACAAUAUGAUAAGACUUGAAUAAAAUCAAGUGUGUGUCUCUCACCUCUCAUUCCUUGGGAAUUCCCACAGUAUAUAAGAAGUAGCAGGACACAAAGAGAAGACACAGCAAGGAGGAGCACAUUCUCUUCCCACACUGCCUUUACCCUGGAGAUGGUCAGAUCCCCCUCACUAACCCCAGCUCCCCCUCCUCUCUGACUUCCCUCCACUUCCAUCUUCCUCAUUGUAGGCUGAUUUAAUUAAAAAUACCCAGCAGCACCACCCUGGACCUCACCCGCAAGGGUGGGACAUCUAGCUGUGGCACAGGGAGACAUUGUCAUUUACUGCAUGUAGACACACAUUCAAGCUUUCCCAUAGCAGAAGGUAAUCCAUUCCUGACAAACAUGAUGCACUGACCUGACAGGAUGACAUUUCAAACUUUGCUACUCUAUCAAAAAUCAAAAAGCAAUGUGUUGUUUAGUGGACCCUAUCAUAUGUAGUGUGGUCAAAGCUUUUCAGAAUAACUUUUUUAAUGAGCCAAGAAUGCAUGCAGUUUUUAAACCAAAUAUAUAUAUAUAUAUAUUGGCCACAAACUCUUCUCCAUAGACAAUCAAUUUUCUUUCUUAAUCAGUGCAAUGUAAUAUUAAAUUUUCCUUUUUCUGCCCAUUUAAAUUGGUGGCUAAGGCAAGCAGCAUCAUGUCAACUGUAUGUGAGAGUUUUCCAAAUAUAAAUCAACAUAAUUAAUCGGCACUUUUUGUCCAUCUUAGAAUUGUAAGCCUUGUUUGACAGUUCUUGGAUAAUGUCUAAUGAAUGUGGAAUGAGACAAUGGCAAUUAAUUUUGUGAUGAUCUUGCCAUUUGGAAAGGGCGGGUAUUUUGUUUUAGAGGGUGGGAAGGAGUCAAAUCGCAGACAUGUUGCCACGGUGAUAAGGUACUCCCUGCCGCCGUCGGGUCUCGUACAAGCAGGGAGCCAUGGCGACUGGUGGAUAGUGACAGACUAAGUGACAAGUCCACAAGGAUGGUAGGUCAACCUUGAGCUCAAUUCCUCAAACUUCCAUAGGGAUGUCAGGCACUUAAUGUAAUGUUAGCACGAAUGGUGUCUGGUCACCGCUAACUUCCAUUCUGUACAGCGUUUUAAAGUAGAAGUUUGCACAAACGUCACUAGCACACACAAAUUAUCACCAUCACAAUGUUUUAACACACUUUGUAGUACAUUAUUUAAUGUUGCAACUAUCUUUACUUUGCUAAUGUUGAGAUGGAGUUUAUGCCAUGAGACUGCAGUAAACUAACUGGGGUCCCUGAUUCAGUUCCCUGCUGUUUAGGGU